AACGAACGCUGGCGGCAUGCCUAACACAUGCAAGUCGAACGAGACCUUCGGGUCUAGUGGCGCACGGGUGCGUAACGCGUGGGAACCUGCCCUUAGGUUCGGAAUAACUCCCCGAAAGGUGUGCUAGUACCGGAUAAUGUCUUCGGACCAAAGAUUUAUCGCCUUUGGAUGGGCCCGCGUUGGAUUAGCUAGUUGGUAGGGUAAAAGCCUACCAAGGCGACGAUCCAUAGCUGGUCUGAGAGGAUGAUCAGCCACACUGGGACUGAGACACGGCCCAGACUCCUACGGGAGGCAGCAGUGGGGAAUAUUGGACGAUGGGCGAAAGACUGAUCCAGCCAUGCCGCGUGAGUGAUGAAGGCCUUAGGGUUGUAAAGCUCUUUUACCCGGGAUGAUAAUGACAGUACCGGGAGAAUAAGCUCCGGCUAACUCCGUG
Molecule: ribosomal RNA, 433 nt
Filed under: uncultured bacterium
Lineage: Bacteria
Description: partial 16S ribosomal RNA
Rfam family: Bacterial small subunit ribosomal RNA
Source: RNAcentral